RNAcentral lists this ribosomal RNA (499 nucleotides) under uncultured Glomus. RNAcentral's name for it is "SSU rRNA". It matches the Rfam family "Eukaryotic small subunit ribosomal RNA", at positions 569 to 1072 of the family's 1831-position model. Lineage: Eukaryota; Fungi; Glomeromycota; Glomeromycetes; Glomerales; Glomeraceae. The record is from RNAcentral.
AGCAGCCGCGGUAAUUCCAGCUCCAAUAGCGUAUAUUAAAGUUGUUGCAGUUAAAAAGCUCGUAGUUGAAUUUCGGGAUCAGUUGGUCGGUCGUGCCUCGGUACGUACUGGUCAAAUUGAUUCCUACCUUCUGACGAACCACGAUGUCAUUAAUUUGGUGUCGUGGGGAAUCAGGACUGUUACUUUGAAAAAAUUAGAGUGUUUAAAGCAGGCUCGCGCUUGAAUACAUUAGCAUGGAAUAAUGAAAUAGGACGUUUGAUUCUAUUUUGUUGGUUUCUAGGAUCGACGUAAUGAUUAAUAGGGAUAGUUGGGGGCAUUAGUAUUCAAUUGUCAGAGGUGAAAUUCUUGGAUUUAUUGAAGACUAACUACUGCGAAAGCAAUUUGCCAAGGAUGUUUUCAUUAAUCAAGAACGAAAGUUAGGGGAUCGAAGACGAUCAGAUACCGUCGUAGUCUUAACCAUAAACUAUGCCGACUAGGGAUCGGAUGAUGUUAAUUUUUA